UCCCGCCUCUUUCACUCAACCCGCCAAUCAGGCUGCGGGAACGCUGCCGUGGUAGCCAAUAAGAAGACAGAAUGCCGUUGCACUACGCUAGAGGGCGGGAGGAGGCGGAGAGGAAACCAAGGAGUGAACGGGGAUCGGGCGGCCCAAUGAGGAGGGCCGGGGGGCGGAGGUGUGCAAGUUGGGUUGAAGAAACAGGAAAUAUUCUUAAAGGAGUUUGGAAGUGGAAAAAUUGAAAAGGAAGAGGGCACGGAAGUCUUUCGGAAUAGUUAGCCCCUCUUAACGUGGAGGGCAGGAAGGUGAGAAGAUACGUCUUAGUAAAUGUGGAGAAGAAAGAAUCAGACGUUUCCGACUUCUCGAUAACUGGAAGAUUGUUGCUGACUUGACGCUGCUCGCAUUCGUAGGCUGUGGUCUCUUGUCAUCCUUUAUUUGCAACAACACACAGAUUUCUGUGAAUUGGAGAUGGCCAUGUUCAGAAAUGCCCUGGGGGCCUCCCAGCUGGGACAAGGGAGUUUGGCAUUGGGGGAUGGGGUUUGAGAUCUCAAGCCUGGGUUACUAAAUACCUGGAUCUAGGAGAGGUAGGGCCAGGGGUCACGAAAUGGAGACCUGAGUGCCCCUUAACUCCAGGAUCUGUGUGGAGCCCUUGGAACCGUGAUCACAACUCCCUCUUCCUAGUUUCGCUUCAUAUUUUAUAACCUCCUGCUGAAACAGGUGUCCUCCACCUAGUUGCGGUUAUAGAUUUCCAAGCCCUUCCACAACCAGAUUUGGAAAUAUCCCAGAUCUUAGAUGUCCGUGGGCUAACUUCCAGAAGGUGCACACAGGGCAUGGCAUAAUGGGAAUUACUUGAGCCUGUAUACAGAAGCAGCAGACAUCGCAUUGAGCAAAAGGGUAAAGGCUAACAGUAACGGAGUCUUAUGUUUGUACAGCAGAUUGAAAAGCUAUGAUGAAACGGAAGGCCUGUAAUGUUGCUUAUAAACUGUGGUACUAAUAAACAGGCUAGAAAUUUUCUUUAACUCAUCCAUCUAGGCACACGAAGUUCUAAUUAGCCUUUGAACAGACUUGGCACAUCCAAAUCAAAACUGCAGAUAAGAAAGAUUCUACGAGUCAGAGCCAUAAUAGCAAUGCUAAUAACAUCACCAUAAAAUUGUAUAGUAUUGGUAUGCUCAGCCAUAGGA
RNAcentral lists this long non-coding RNA (1172 nucleotides) under Homo sapiens (human). RNAcentral describes it as "HSALNT0058912". The record is from RNAcentral. Lineage: Eukaryota; Metazoa; Chordata; Mammalia; Primates; Hominidae.